This 468-nucleotide ribosomal RNA is filed under the name uncultured bacterium. Its description in RNAcentral is "partial 16S ribosomal RNA". It matches the Rfam family "Bacterial small subunit ribosomal RNA", at positions 28 to 507 of the family's 1533-position model. The record is from RNAcentral.
GACGAACGCUGGCGGCGUGCUUAACACAUGCAAGUCGAACGGAAAGGCCCUGCUUUUGUGGGGUGCUCGAGUGGCGAACGGGUGAGUAACACGUGAGUAACCUGCCCUUGACUUUGGGAUAACUUCAGGAAACUGGGGCUAAUACCGGAUAGGAGCUCCUGCUGCAUGGUGGGGGUUGGAAAGUUUCGGCGGUUGGGGAUGGAAUCGCGGCUUAUCAGCUUGUUGGUGGGGUAGUGGCUUACCAAGGCUUUGACGGGUAGCCGGCCUGAGAGGGUGACCGGCCACAUUGGGACUGAGAUACGGCCCAGACUCCUCCGGUAGGCAGCAGUGGGGAAUAUUGCACAAUGGGCGGAAGCCUGAUGCAGCAACGCCGCGUGCGGGAUGACGGCCUUCGGGUUGUAAACCGCUUUCGCCUGUGACGAAGCGUGAGUGACGGUAAUGGGUAAAGAAGCACCGGCUAACUACGUG